AGCAGCCGCGGUAAUUCCAGCUCCAAUAGCGUAUAUUAAAGUUGUUGCAGUUAAAAAGCUCGUAGUUGAAUUUCGGGAUUGACACAUCGGUCGUGCCUUAAGGGGUAUGAACUGGUGUAGUCAAUUUCUCACCUUCUGGAGAACCGCGAUGCCCUUAAUUGGGUGUCGCGGGGAACCAGGACCUUUACUUUGAAAAAUUAGAGUGUUUAAAGCAGGCAUUUUGCUUGAAUACAUUAGCAUGGAAUAAUAAAAUAGGACGGCAUGAUUCUAUUUUGUUGGUUUCUAGGAUCACCGUAAUGAUUAAUAGGGAUAGUUGGGGGCAUUAGUAUUCAAUUGUCAGAGGUGAAAUUCUUGGAUUUAUUGAAGACUAACUACUGCGAAAGCAUUUGCCAAGGAUGUUUUCAUUAAAUCAAGAACGAAAGUUAGGGGAUCGAAGACGAUCAGAUACCGUCGUAGUCUUAACCAUAAACUAUGCCGACUAGGAAUCAGACGAUGUUAAUUUUUAAUGUACUCGUUUGGC
This 520-nucleotide unclassified non-coding RNA is filed under the name uncultured Entrophospora. RNAcentral's name for it is "SSU rRNA". It matches the Rfam family "Eukaryotic small subunit ribosomal RNA", at positions 569 to 1084 of the family's 1831-position model. Lineage: Eukaryota; Fungi; Glomeromycota; Glomeromycetes; Entrophosporales; Entrophosporaceae. The record is from RNAcentral.